RNAcentral lists this ribosomal RNA (458 nucleotides) under uncultured Ralstonia sp. Its description in RNAcentral is "bacterial SSU rRNA". It matches the Rfam family "Bacterial small subunit ribosomal RNA", at positions 342 to 792 of the family's 1533-position model. Lineage: Bacteria; Pseudomonadati; Pseudomonadota; Betaproteobacteria; Burkholderiales; Burkholderiaceae. The record is from RNAcentral.
CGGGAGGCAGCAGUGGGGAAUUUUGGACAAUGGGCGAAAGCCUGAUCCAGCAAUGCCGCGUGUGUGAAGAAGGCCUUCGGGUUGUAAAGCACUUUUGUCCGGAAAGAAAUGGCUCUGGUUAAUACCUGGGGUCGAUGACGGUACCGGAAGAAUAAGGACCGGCUAACUACGUGCCAGCAGCCGCGGUAAUACGUAGGGUCCAAGCGUUAAUCGGAAUUACUGGGCGUAAAGCGUGCGCAGGCGGUUGUGCAAGACCGAUGUGAAAUCCCCGAGCUUAACUUGGGAAUUGCAUUGGUGACUGCACGGCUAGAGUGUGUCAGAGGGGGGUAGAAUUCCACGUGUAGCAGUGAAAUGCGUAGAGAUGUGGAGGAAUACCGAUGGCGAAGGCAGCCCCCUGGGAUAACACUGACGCUCAUGCACGAAAGCGUGGGGAGCAAACAGGAUUAGAUACCCUGGUA